RNAcentral lists this ribosomal RNA (120 nucleotides) under Bison bison bison. Lineage: Eukaryota; Metazoa; Chordata; Mammalia; Artiodactyla; Bovidae. The record is from RNAcentral.
GUCUCAGGCCGUAUCAGCCUGAAGGCGCCCGAUCUCGUCUGAUCUGGGAAGCUAAGCAGGGUCGGGCCUGGUUAGGAUCUUGGAUGGGAGACCACCUGGGAAUCCCGGGUGCUCGAGGCU